RNAcentral lists this unclassified non-coding RNA (256 nucleotides) under Hevea brasiliensis (rubber tree). Lineage: Eukaryota; Viridiplantae; Streptophyta; Magnoliopsida; Malpighiales; Euphorbiaceae. The record is from RNAcentral.
AAGUCCACAUCUCUGCAGGUUAAAUGCACAAUCAAGAUAUGAAAAUGAAAAAAAAAAAUCUCUAUAUUUUAUAUAUAUUUCUCUGCGUGUGUGAAGGGGAAAAGAAAUUACAUGGCAACUGCUAAAAGUAGAAAUGUAAAUCUAUGUGGCUUGUGCACUGCUCCAACCCAGCACCAUAUUAAUCAGGCAUGAUGCACAUUAGUACAAAGGUUUGGAAGUAACAUCUAGAUUAUAGAAUUCAUUGCAGCACAAAACA